AGAAAGAGAGCAGGGCGGAUUUCAGAGCUCAGCGCUUUAUAUUUCACCCGGUAUUAAGUGAUGUGGUGCUGAUACCUGGUUUAUUAUAAUCUGUGCCCUGGUCAUGCUUUAAACUGGGAGAGCAGCAGGUCCAGUGUCUAGUUCUGUGAAAAGAGCACAAACACCAGGAUGGAUCCUCCUUACUUCAGCAGGAAGGAAGAAGUAUAUGACUUGAAACUGCAGACAUUUAGAGCAGAACCUCCAGAGCCCAGCUGUGUGUCUAUGAAGAGCAACUAUUCCAUGGAGCAGCCUCAUAAUUUCAGUAAUGAAAGAAGCAGCACUGAUCUGAGACUGCAGACAAUUAGAGCAGACCCUCCAGAGCCCAGCGGUGUGUCAAUGAAGAGCAACUAUUCCAUGGAGCAGCCUCAUAAUUUCAGUAAUGAAAGAAGCAGCACUGAUUUGAGACUUCAGACAUUUAGAGCAGACCCUCCAGAGCCCAGCUAUGUGUCUGUGAACAGCACUUACUUGAUGAAUCAGCCUCUUUAUUUCAAAAAAAGAAGAAGCUCUGGCCUGAGACUGCAGACAUUCAAGGCAGAACCUCCAGAGCCCAGCUGUGUGUCUAUGAAGAGCAAUAAUUCCAUGGAGCAGCCUCAUUAUUUCAGUAAUGAAAGAAGCAGCAAUAAACUGAGAAAUACAUUCAGAGCAGAAUCUCCAGAGCCCAGCUGUGUGUCUAUUAAGAGCAGCCACUCGAUGCAUCAGCCUAUUUAUUUCAGUAAUGAAAGAAGCAGUACUGAUCUGAGCAAUGUAAAGAAUGGAUCAUUCCAGAAUCCAGAGUCCAGGUGUGGAGUGUGUGAGCAGAUUCAGACAGAUCCAGUCUCUAUCAC
Molecule: long non-coding RNA, 863 nt
Filed under: Astyanax mexicanus (Mexican tetra)
Lineage: Eukaryota; Metazoa; Chordata; Actinopteri; Characiformes; Acestrorhamphidae
Description: lncRNA (ENSAMXG00005000616.1)
Source: RNAcentral